Molecule: ribosomal RNA, 1150 nt
Filed under: Taphrina aff. virginica 046.1c
Lineage: Eukaryota; Fungi; Ascomycota; Taphrinomycetes; Taphrinales; Taphrinaceae
Description: eukaryotic LSU rRNA
Rfam family: Eukaryotic large subunit ribosomal RNA (bases 526-1150)
Source: RNAcentral
UCUGGGCUUCGGCCCUCUCUCUUCUACACACUUGUGAACUUACACCGUUGCUUUGGCAGGUCUCCGGAUGGGCGUCAGCCUUGAAGGUCAGGUCGAGAGACGCCUGCCAAAGACACUUAUCCACCCUUUUUUAUUGUCUGAAUCUUGUUUAUAACAAAUAAAAUAAAACUUUCAACAAUGGAUCUCUUGGCUCUGGCAUCGAUGAAGAACGCAGCGAAAUGCGAUAAGUAAUGUGAAUUGCAGAAUUCAGUGAAUCAUCGAAUCUUUGAACGCACAUUGCGCCCUCUGGUAUUCCGGAGGGCAUGCCUGUUUGAGUGUCAUUAAUCUCUCACAAGACCCUCUGGUUUUGUCGAUGUUGGGAGCUGCGACCCCCUUGUGGGGACGCUCUCCUCAAAUGCAUUGGUGCGGCCCGCCGCCCGGUUACACAACGUUCUAGGUUCGUCCAACUCGUUUCAAGCCGGUGCAACUUUGGUGCAGCACCUAAAGCCCGCCCUGAGCCUGAGCUCUUGGCAUACCUUCAUUUAUUGACCUCAGAUCAGUAGGAAUACGCGCUGAACUUAAGCAUAUCAAUAAGCGCAGGAAAAGAAACUAACUAGGAUGCCUUCAGUAACGGCGAGCGAACAAGCAUAACUCAAAUUUGUAAUCUGGCGCCUUUGGCGUCCGAGUUGUAUUUUCUAGAAGCGAGUUCGGCGACAGCUCCUACCCAAGUCCGUUGGAACGCGGCGUCAUGGAGGGUGAGAAUCCCGUGAAUGGUAGGAUGUCUGCUGCUAUGUGAACCGCCUUCGAAGAGUCGAGUUGUUUGGGAAUGCAGCUCUAAAUGGGAGGUAAAUUUCUUCUAAAGCUAAAUAUUGGCCAGAGACCGAUAGCGAACAAGUAGAGUGAUCGAAAGAUGAAAAGAACUUUGAAAAGAGAGUUAAACAGUACGUGAAAUUGUUGAAAGGGAAGCGCUUGAGAUCAGACUUCCUGUCUGGACUGUCCUUGCUUUUGCUUGGGUCACCAGUCCAGGCGUGGAGGCCAGCAUCAGUUUUGACGGCCGGAUAAAGGCCUUGGGAAGGUAGCUCCCCUCGGGGAGUGUUAUAGCCCAGGGUGUAAUACGGCCAGUUGGGACUGAGGACCGCGGCUCUGCUAGGAUGCUGGGUAAUGUCUUAAG